AAGGGGUUUUUUGUUUGGGGCCGGCCGCAUAGGCCGACCCACGCCAUCCGACAAAUGGGGCAGCGGCCACGGCCACAGCCAUGCCAAUGAUGGCGAACGGGGCAGCGAACCGACUGAAGGGGGUGGUGGCGGCGGUGGCUGGAUCCACCACCACCCGCAGUAUCUUCGGUGCGGCCGUGUGAACAGCGGCUUGUGCCGCAGCGGUCGGAGCGACGGUGGGUCUUCCGCUGCCCUCCGACAAGGGCGGCAGCCUGCUGCCCUCUCUACUAAUCUCUGGUGGUCGAGAAGAAUAGGGGCGGCCGUUCGGUGCAGAAAAACCACCCAGGUUUCUCACGAUUAGGGAGGAAGAUGGGAUUUCGGGUUCGGAUCCAAAUCCAAACCCAUUAGGCUAUCAGGUUUCUAAUUUCAGGUUUUGGAUUUAACCCAUUAAAUUUUGGAUCAGACCCGUUGACCCAAUUUUAUUUUAAACUAUUUUAUAAAUAACCCCCUGAAGAACAGUUUAUUAUAGAUAGAUUCUACAGUUUUCUGGCAGACUACAGAAAAACCCUUCUCUUAUCUAGGAUUUACGGUUUAAUCCUCUAUUAUUAAGCUUUUUGGUAAAAUCACGGUAUCUCUUUCGUUUUACAUCCGAUUUGAGCGAUUUUUAAACCAUUGGACUCGUAAUGAC
RNAcentral lists this long non-coding RNA (667 nucleotides) under Elaeis guineensis (African oil palm). Its description in RNAcentral is "long non-coding RNA (EGUI_LNC077626)". The record is from RNAcentral. Lineage: Eukaryota; Viridiplantae; Streptophyta; Magnoliopsida; Arecales; Arecaceae.